GAUGUCCCCAAUUUAUCUUCAAAUGCGAAAUUGUCUUCCUCCUGAAGUGCCGAGCUGCAUGUUUUUGCAGCAGGAAUAAGAAGCAAAAUCAUGACUCAAAAAACUGCAGUGCACAGCUGCAGCACCUAAUAGGGAAGAAGCGCUCUUUCGGCCUUGUCUGGUGCAGAAAAACAUAUUGUCCUUUGCGCUUCACUAUGAUGGGGAGCUUAUUUGUUAUGUGUAAUCAGCAUUUUCUGGAAAAGCCUACCUUCUUACGCAUCAUGUGGAAUACACAUGAAAAGCGCACAGAGAAUUGUUCACAGAGCCUGCAUUAUUCAACUUUUAUACGAACAGUUGCAUUUGAAGCUAUUGACAUGAAUUAAAAAUAGCGGUGUAUA
This is a long non-coding RNA of Rhipicephalus microplus (southern cattle tick), 377 nucleotides long. NCBI's taxonomy places the organism in Eukaryota, Metazoa, Arthropoda, Arachnida, Ixodida, Ixodidae. The record is from RefSeq and is a predicted model, not a curated record.